CGGCAACAGCUCAAAUUUGAAAUCUGGCCUUUGGCCCGAGUUGUAAUUUGUAGAGGAUGCUUUUGGUGCGGUGCCUUCCGAGUUCCCUGGAACGGGACGCCUUAGAGGGUGAGAGCCCCGUACGUGGUCGCAGGCCUUCUCGAGGUAAAGCCCCUUCGAC
This 160-nucleotide ribosomal RNA is filed under the name Dactylaria sp. RNAcentral describes it as "partial large subunit ribosomal RNA". It matches the Rfam family "Eukaryotic large subunit ribosomal RNA", at positions 99 to 261 of the family's 3401-position model. The record is from RNAcentral. Lineage: Eukaryota; Fungi; Ascomycota; Leotiomycetes; Helotiales.